UGAGUUGCGAACGGGUGAGUAACGCGUAGGUAACCUGCCUCAUAGCGGGGGAUAACUAUUGGAAACGAUAGCUAAUACCGCAUAAGAGUAAUUAACACAUGUUAGUUAUUUAAAAGGAGCAAUUGCUUCACUGUGAGAUGGACCUGCGUUGUAUUAGCUAGUUGGUGAGGUAAAGGCUCACCAAGGCGACGAUACAUAGCCGACCUGAGAGGGUGAUCGGCCACACUGGGACUGAGACACGGCCCAGACUCCUACGGGAGGCAGCAGUAGGGAAUCUUCGGCAAUGGACGGAAGUCUGACCGAGCAACGCCGCGUGAGUGAAGAAGGUUUUCGGAUCGUAAAGCUCUGUUGUUAGAGAAGAACGUUGGUAGGAGUGGAAAAUCUACCAAGUGACGGUAACUAACCAGAAAGGGACGGCUAACUACGUGCCAGCAGCCGCGGUAAUACGUAGGUCCCGAGCGUUGUCCGGAUUUAUUGGGCGUAAAGCGAGCGCAGGCGGUUCUUUAAGUCUGAAGUUAAAGGCAGUGGCUUAACCAUUGUACGCUUUGGAAACUGGAGGACUUGAGUGCAGAAGGGGAGAGUGGAAUUCCAUGUGUAGCGGUGAAAUGCGUAGAUAUAUGGAGGAACACCGGUGGCGAAAGCGGCUCUCUGGUCUGUAACUGACGCUGAGGCUCGAAAGCGUGGGGAGCAAACAGGAUUAGAUACCCUGGUAGUCCACGCCGUAAACGAUGAGUGCUAGGUGUUAGGCCCUUUCCGGGGCUUAGUGCCGCAGCUAACGCAUUAAGCACUCCGCCUGGGGAGUACGACCGCAAGGUUGAAACUCAAAGGAAUUGACGGGGGCCCGCACAAGCGGUGGAGCAUGUGGUUUAAUUCUAAGCAACGCGAAGAACCUUACCAGGUCUUGACAUCCUUCUGACCGGCCUAGAGAUAGGCUUUCUCUUCGGAGCAGAAGUGACAGGUGGUGCAUGGUUGUCGUCAGCUCGUGUCGUGAGAUGUUGGGUUAAGUCCCGCAACGAGCGCAACCCCUAUUGUUAGUUGCCAUCAUUAAGUUGGGCACUCUAGCGAGACUGCCGGUAAUAAACCGGAGGAAGGUGGGGAUGACGUCAAAUCAUCAUGCCCCUUAUGACCUGGGCUACACACGUGCUACAAUGGUUGGUACAACGAGUCGCAAGCCGGUGACGGCAAGCUAAUCUCUUAAAGCCAAUCUCAGUUCGGAUUGUAGGCUGCAACUCGCCUACAUGAAGUCGGAAUCGCUAGUAAUCGCGGAUCAGCACGCCGCGGUGAAUACGUUCCCGGGCCUUGUACA
This 1306-nucleotide ribosomal RNA is filed under the name Streptococcus agalactiae. Its description in RNAcentral is "bacterial SSU rRNA". It matches the Rfam family "Bacterial small subunit ribosomal RNA", at positions 92 to 1387 of the family's 1533-position model. Lineage: Bacteria; Bacillati; Bacillota; Bacilli; Lactobacillales; Streptococcaceae. The record is from RNAcentral.